This 787-nucleotide ribosomal RNA is filed under the name Haemophilus influenzae. Its description in RNAcentral is "bacterial LSU rRNA". It matches the Rfam family "Bacterial large subunit ribosomal RNA", at positions 1085 to 1759 of the family's 2925-position model. Lineage: Bacteria; Pseudomonadati; Pseudomonadota; Gammaproteobacteria; Pasteurellales; Pasteurellaceae. The record is from RNAcentral.
UUAGACAGCUAGGAUGUUGGCUUAGAAGCAGCCAUCAUUUAAAGAAAGCGUAAUAGCUCACUAGUCGAGUCGGCCUGCGCGGAAGAUGUAACGGGGCUGAAAUAUAGCACCGAAGCUGCGGCAUCAGGCGUAUCACUAAUACGCCUUACGAUUAACAAGCUAGAAUGGCGCGAAGCGGCAUGAAAGGUUGUUCAAGCAACCCGAACGUUGAGUCGGGCAUCUUAGAGUGAGGAUGAUUAGUGAUACGCCUGUUGGGUAGGGGAGCGUUGUGUAAGCGGAUGAAGGUUAAUCGAGAGGUUAGCUGGACGUAUCACAAGUGCGAAUGCUGACAUAAGUAACGAUAAAACGGGUGAAAAACCCGUUCGCCGGAAGACCAAGGGUUCCUGUCCAACGUUAAUCGGGGCAGGGUGAGUCGGCUCCUAAGGCGAGGCUGAAAAGCGUAGUCGAUGGGAAACAGGUUAAUAUUCCUGUACUUGGUAAAGCUGCGAUGUGGGGACGGAGUAGGUUAGGUUAUCGCACUGUUGGAUAUGUGCGUUUAAGUUGGUAGGUGGGAAGUUUAGGCAAAUCCGGACUUCCUUAACACAGAGAGAUGAUGACGAGGCUCUACGGAGCUGAAGUAACUGAUGCCACACUUCCAGGAAAAGCCACUAAGCGAAAGGCUUUACUAAACCGUACUGAAAACCGACACAGGUGGUCAGGUAGAGAAUACUCAGGCGCUUGAGAGAACUCGGGUGAAGGAACUAGGCAAAAUAGCACCGUAACUUCGGGAGAAGGUGCGCCGGCGUAG